Long non-coding RNA from Coccinella septempunctata (seven-spotted ladybird), 673 nucleotides. RefSeq lists it as uncharacterized. The record is from RefSeq and is a predicted model, not a curated record. Lineage: Eukaryota; Metazoa; Arthropoda; Insecta; Coleoptera; Coccinellidae. The transcript is spliced from 3 exons.
AAAGAGAUAGCCCGCUUUCAUGUAAGUCAAUGAUUCUGCCUUAUUUACGUUAUUGUUUUCUAGAUUGUUGGGGUAUCUACCAUGCAGAGCUUUAGCCUUCCAUUCUUCCCGAAAACUUUGCUGAGUGCGGACCGGCGGAGCGAAUCCUGAGUCCGAGAGCCGCAACGGAGAGCAUCCCACAUCGAUCGCCCGAAGGGUCCUGAAGUAAGGUGAGUUCUGCUGCAUAAAAUAUUCCCUCAAUCUUAUUACGGUCUUAUUGUGAGCUGUUUCUAAAUUAACCAAUCCUCUUCCGCCCAGGUGUCUUUGGAGGUAGAGUCUAGCCACGGAGGAGUGUGGGUGAUGUACACCGUAUUUCGUCAAGAUGGUUCGAAUUUUUGUAUCCAAGGCUUGCAACUCCGUAGUCGACCAGGUUGUCUGCUGCUAACCUGAUCUUAUUAUGGAAAUCGCCCGCACCAAGCCUUAGCUUAUACUCUUUUGCUAUGAUCUUCAUUGAUUUCAUUACUCUCCUGGACGGUUGCUGUGUGGAAAGGCGUGUCUUCCAUGGCGGAUCACCAGAAGGCCUCCUCAUCUCAACCGGCGAUUCCGUCUUACCCUGGAGUUCAGCAACAGUUAUGGCCCCCGCGUAAACCAUAUCCACAAAUUGUAGAAGAGAGUGGUCCCUGUCAAUGAUCCU